ACUCCUACGGGAGGCAGCAGUGGGAAUAUUGCACAAUGGGCGCAAGCCUGAUGCAGCCAUGCCGCGUGUGUGAAGAAGGCCUUCGGGUUGUAAAGCACUUUCAGUUGUGAGGAAGGUGGUGUCGUUAAUAGCGGCAUCAUUUGACGUUAGCAACAGAAGAAGCACCGGCUAACUCCGUGCCAGCAGCCGCGGUAAUACGGAGGGUGCAAGCGUUGUCCGGAUUUAUUGGGUUUAAAGGGUGCGUAGGCGGGCUAUUAAGUCAGUGGUGAAAUCCAGCAGCUUAACUGUUGAUGUGCCAUUGAUACUGGUAGUCUUGAGUACAGAUGAGGUAGGCGGAAUUGACAGUGUAGCGGUGAAAUGCAUAGAUAUUGUCAAGAACUCCGAUAGCGAAGGCAGCUUACUGGGCUGUAACUGACGCUGAUGCACGAAAGUGUGGGGAUCAAACAGGAUUAGAUACCCUGGUAGGCUCUG
This 471-nucleotide ribosomal RNA is filed under the name uncultured bacterium. RNAcentral's name for it is "bacterial SSU rRNA". It matches the Rfam family "Bacterial small subunit ribosomal RNA", at positions 335 to 799 of the family's 1533-position model. The record is from RNAcentral.